Molecule: ribosomal RNA, 401 nt
Filed under: uncultured bacterium
Lineage: Bacteria
Description: bacterial SSU rRNA
Rfam family: Bacterial small subunit ribosomal RNA
Source: RNAcentral
GGGAAUAUUGCACAAUGGGCGAAAGCCUGAUGCAGCGACGCCGCGUGAGUGAAGAAGUAUUUCGGUAUGUAAAGCUCUAUCAGCAGGGAAGAUAAUGACGGUACCUGACUAAGAAGCCCCGGCUAACUACGUGCCAGCAGCCGCGGUAAUACGUAGGGGGCAAGCGUUAUCCGGAUUUACUGGGUGUAAAGGGAGCGUAGACGGCAUGGCAAGUCUGAAGUGAAAACCCAGGGCUCAACCCUGGGACUGCUUUGGAAACUGUCAAGCUAGAGUGCAGGAGAGGUAAGUGGAAUUCCUAGUGUAGCGGUGAAAUGCGUAGAUAUUAGGAGGAACACCAGUGGCGAAGGCGGCUUACUGGACUGUAACUGACGUUGAGGCUCGAAAGCGUGGGGAGCAAACAG